GUAGGGAAUAUUGGGCAAUGGAUGCAAGUCUGACCCAGCCAUCCCGCGUGCCGGAAGAAGGCCCUCAGGGUUGUAAACGGCUUUUGACGGUGAAGAACCGACAGGAUGCGUCCUGUUUUGACGGUAGCCGUUGAAUAAGCACCGGCUAACUCCGUGCCAGCAGCCGCAGUAAUACGGAGGGUGCGAGCGUUGUCCGGAUUUAUUGGGUUUAAAGGGUGCGUAGGCUGGAAGGUCAGUCAGCGGUGAAAAGCUAUCGCUUAACGAUAGUCUUGCCGCAGAUACUUCCUUUCUUGGAUGAGGAGGAGGCCACUGGAACGGAUGGUGUAGCGGUGAAAUGCAUAGAUAUCAUCCAGAACACCGAUUGCGAAGGCAGGUGGCUGUACCUUAAUCGACGCUGAUGCACGAAAGCAUGGGGAGCAAACAGGAUUAGAAACCCCAGUAGUCC
RNAcentral lists this ribosomal RNA (445 nucleotides) under uncultured bacterium. RNAcentral's name for it is "bacterial SSU rRNA". It matches the Rfam family "Bacterial small subunit ribosomal RNA", at positions 354 to 796 of the family's 1533-position model. The record is from RNAcentral.